GAUGAACGCUGGCGGCGUGCCUAAUACAUGCAAGUCGAGCGAACGGACGAGAAGCUUGCUUCUCUGAUGUUAGCGGCGGACGGGUGAGUAACACGUGGAUAACCUACCUAUAAGACUGGGAUAACUUCGGGAAACCGGCGCUAAUACCGGAUAAUAUUUUGAACCGCAUGGUUCAAAAGUGAAAUACGGUCUUGCUGUCACGUAUAGAUGGAUCCGCGCUGCAUUAGCUAGUUGGUAAGUUAACGGCUUACCAAGGCAACGAUGCAUAGCCGACCUGAGAGGGUGAUCGGCCACACUAGAACGGGGACACGGUCCAGACUACUACGGGAGGCAGCAGUAGGGAAUCUUCCGCAAUGGGCGAAAGCCUGACGGAGCAACGCCGCGUGAGUGAUGAAGGUCUUCGGAUCGUAAAACUCUGUUAUUAGGGAAGAACAUAUGUGUAAGUAACUGUGCACAGCGUGACGGUACCUAAUAAGAAAGCCACGGCUAACUACGUG
RNAcentral lists this ribosomal RNA (497 nucleotides) under uncultured bacterium. Its description in RNAcentral is "partial 16S ribosomal RNA". It matches the Rfam family "Bacterial small subunit ribosomal RNA", at positions 28 to 507 of the family's 1533-position model. The record is from RNAcentral.